RNAcentral lists this ribosomal RNA (258 nucleotides) under uncultured bacterium. Its description in RNAcentral is "partial 16S ribosomal RNA". It matches the Rfam family "Bacterial small subunit ribosomal RNA", at positions 75 to 334 of the family's 1533-position model. The record is from RNAcentral.
CUUGCUUUCUUUGCUGGCGACCGGCGUACGGGUGAGUAACACGUAUCCAACCUGCCCUUUACUCGGGGAUAGCCUUUCGAAAGAAAGAUUAAUACCCGAUAGCAUAAUGAUUCCGCAUGGUUUCAUUAUUAAAGGAUUCCGGUAAAGGAUGGGGAUGCGUUCCAUUAGGUUGUUGGUGAGGUAACGGCCCACCAAGCCUUCGAUGGAUAGGGGUUCUGAGAGGAAGGUCCCCCACAUUGGAACUGAGACACGGUCCAA